This 491-nucleotide ribosomal RNA is filed under the name uncultured bacterium. Its description in RNAcentral is "partial 16S ribosomal RNA". It matches the Rfam family "Bacterial small subunit ribosomal RNA", at positions 29 to 506 of the family's 1533-position model. The record is from RNAcentral.
AGUGAACGCUGGCGGUAGGCCUAACACAUGCAAGUCGAACGGCAGCACAGUAAGAGCUUGCUCUUACGGGUGGCGAGUGGCGGACGGGUGAGGAAUACAUCGGAAUCUACUUUUUCGUGGGGGAUAACGUAGGGAAACUUACGCUAAUACCGCAUACGACCUACGGGUGAAAGCAGGGGAUCUUCGGACCUUGCGCGAUUGAAUGAGCCGAUGUCGGAUUAGCUAGUUGGCGGGGUAAAGGCCCACCAAGGCGACGAUCCGUAGCUGGUCUGAGAGGAUGAUCAGCCACACUGGAACUGGGGCACGGUCCAGACUCCUACGGGAGGCAGCAGUGGGGAAUAUUGGACAAUGGGCGCAAGCCUGAUCCAGCCAUACCGCGUGGGUGAAGAAGGCCUUCGGGUUGUAAAGCCCUUUUGUUGGGAAAGAAAAGCAGCAGGUUAAUACCCCGCUGUUCUGACGGUACCCAAAGAAUAAACACCGGCUAACUUCGU